UCCCUGGUGUCUCAGAUGGUAAAGCGUCUGCCUACAAUGCAGGAGACCCAGGUUCGAUCCCUGGGUCGGGAA
RNAcentral lists this transfer RNA (72 nucleotides) under Bos taurus (domestic cattle). It matches the Rfam family "tRNA". From Rfam's summary of the family: Transfer RNA (tRNA) molecules are approximately 80 nucleotides in length. Their secondary structure includes four short double-helical elements and three loops (D, anti-codon, and T loops). Further hydrogen bonds mediate the characteristic L-shaped molecular structure. tRNAs have two regions of fundamental functional importance: the anti-codon, which is responsible for specific mRNA codon recognition, and the 3' end, to which the tRNAs corresponding amino acid is attached (by aminoacyl-tRNA synthetases). tRNAs cope with the degeneracy of the genetic code in two manners: having more than one tRNA (with a specific anti-codon) for a particular amino acid; and 'wobble' base-pairing, i.e. permitting non-standard base-pairing at the 3rd anti-codon position. The record is from Rfam by way of RNAcentral. RNAcentral also lists the same sequence under 2 other names. Lineage: Eukaryota; Metazoa; Chordata; Mammalia; Artiodactyla; Bovidae.